AACAAACGCUGGCGGCGUGCCUAACACAUGCAAGUCGUACGAGAAAGUCGGCUUCGGCCGAUGAGUACAGUGGCGCACGGGUGAGUAGCGCGUGGGUAAUCUGCCCCCCGGUCAGGAAUAACCCGCCGAAAGGCGGGCUAAUACCCGAUAACACUGACGCUCCGCGGAGCGUCUUUCAAAGGAGGCCUCUGUUUACAAGCUUUCGCCGGAGGAUGAGCCCGCGUACCAUUAGCUAGUUGGCAGGGUAAUGGCCUACCAAGGCUGCGAUGGUUAGCUGGUCUGAGAGGAUGGCCAGCCACACUGGAACUGAGACACGGUCCAGACUCCUACGGGAGGCAGCAGUGAGGAAUCUUGCGCAAUGGGGGAAACCCUGACGCAGCAACGCCGCGUGAGUGAGGAAGGCCUUCGGGUCGUAAAGCUCUGUCAGAUGGAAGAAAUGGUGGGGCGUAAUAUCGCCCAUCCUUGACGGUACCAUCAGAGGAAGACACCGGCUAACC
This 497-nucleotide ribosomal RNA is filed under the name uncultured bacterium. RNAcentral describes it as "bacterial SSU rRNA". It matches the Rfam family "Bacterial small subunit ribosomal RNA", at positions 29 to 502 of the family's 1533-position model. The record is from RNAcentral.